AGAUUAGGAUUGAGGGAAUUAACAGUAUAAAUAGGAGAAUAAUGGAAAAAGUUAUUUGGCUUUGGCUGUUGCCCAUUGCAGAUAGGGGCUUUACCAAUUGCUGAGGAUUUAGCUUUACUCAUUGAAGAGAGUGGCUUUGCCCAUUAAUGAGAGGCUCCUGCUCAUUGCAGUCUCACGAAAGGAAAGAGACUUUGGUUUAUGAUAGAGAGAGGACACAUAAUUCAAGAGGAAGAGAUUCUUGUCCAUUGAUGAGAGGGCUCUUGUCCAUGUAGUUAAAGACACCUCUUGUAGUGUAGUAGUUAAAGUAGUAAAUAUAUUAGGUUAUGUCUAGAGGAAACUAAGAUGACUAAUUAAUUUAUUUACUAUAAAUAGUUAUGUAAUGUGGAUUCUCUUAGGUGUAAUUGGGUUGA
Molecule: unclassified non-coding RNA, 410 nt
Filed under: Hevea brasiliensis (rubber tree)
Lineage: Eukaryota; Viridiplantae; Streptophyta; Magnoliopsida; Malpighiales; Euphorbiaceae
Source: RNAcentral